UGCUAUACAUGCAAGUAGAACGCUGAAGAGAGGAGCUUGCUCUUCUUGGAUGAGUUGCGAACGGGUGAGUAACGCGUAGGUAACCUGCCUUGUAGCGGGGGAUAACUAUUGGAAACGAUAGCUAAUACCGCAUAACAAUGGAUGACACAUGUCAUUUAUUUGAAAGGGGCAAUUGCUCCACUACAAGAUGGACCUGCGUUGUAUUAGCUAGUAGGUGAGGUAAUGGCUCACCUAGGCGACGAUACAUAGCCGACCUGAGAGGGUGAUCGGCCACACUGGGACUGAGACACGGCCCAGACUCCUACGGGAGGCAGCAGUAGGGAAUCUUCGGCAAUGGGGGCAACCCUGACCGAGCAACGCCGCGUGAGUGAAGAAGGUUUUCGGAUCGUAAAGCUCUGUUGUAAGUCAAGAACGGGUGUGAGAGUGGAAAGUUCACACUGUGACGGUAGCUUACCAGAAAGGGACGGCUAACUACGUGCCAGCAGCCGCGGUAAUACGUAGGUCCCGAGCGUUGUCCGGAUUUAUUGGGCGUAAAGCGAGCGCAGGCGGUUUGAUAAGUCUGAAGUUAAAGGCUGUGGCUCAACCAUAGUUCGCUUUGGAAACUGUCAAACUUGAGUGCAGAAGGGGAGAGUGGAAUUCCAUGUGUAGCGGUGAAAUGCGUAGAUAUAUGGAGGAACACCGGUGGCGAAAGCGGCUCUCUGGUCUGUAACUGACGCUGAGGCUCGAAAGCGUGGGGAGCGAACAGGAUUAGAUACCCUGGUAGUCCACGCCGUAAACGAUGAGUGCUAGGUGUUGGAUCCUUUCCGGGAUUCAGUGCCGCAGCUAACGCAUUAAGCACUCCGCCUGGGGAGUACGACCGCAAGGUUGAAACUCAAAGGAAUUGACGGGGGCCCGCACAAGCGGUGGAGCAUGUGGUUUAAUUCGAAGCAACGCGAAGAACCUUACCAGGUCUUGACAUCCCGAUGCUAUUUCUAGAGAUAGAAAGUUACUUCGGUACAUCGGUGACAGGUGGUGCAUGGUUGUCGUCAGCUCGUGUCGUGAGAUGUUGGGUUAAGUCCCGCAACGAGCGCAACCCCUAUUGUUAGUUGCCAUCAUUCAGUUGGGCACUCUAGCGAGACUGCCGGUAAUAAACCGGAGGAAGGUGGGGAUGACGUCAAAUCAUCAUGCCCCUUAUGACCUGGGCUACACACGUGCUACAAUGGUUGGUACAACGAGUUGCGAGUCGGUGACGGCGAGCUAAUCUCUUAAAGCCAAUCUCAGUUCGGAUUGUAGGCUGCAACUCGCCUACAUGAAGUCGGAAUCGCUAGUAAUCGCGGAUCAGCACGCCGCGGUGAAUACGUUCCCGGGCCUUGUACACACCGCCCGUCACACCACGAGAGUUUGUAACA
RNAcentral lists this ribosomal RNA (1388 nucleotides) under Streptococcus thermophilus. RNAcentral describes it as "bacterial SSU rRNA". It matches the Rfam family "Bacterial small subunit ribosomal RNA", at positions 45 to 1419 of the family's 1533-position model. The record is from RNAcentral. Lineage: Bacteria; Bacillati; Bacillota; Bacilli; Lactobacillales; Streptococcaceae.